Oncorhynchus tshawytscha (Chinook salmon) is the source of this 351-nucleotide long non-coding RNA. NCBI's taxonomy places the organism in Eukaryota, Metazoa, Chordata, Actinopteri, Salmoniformes, Salmonidae. The record is from Ensembl.
GUGAGGGACUGUGGUUGGCACAGCGGUAGGGUUCUACAGUGAGGGUCUGAGGUUGGCCCAGCGGGAGGGUUCUACAGUGAGGGACUGAGGUUGGCCCAGCGGUAGGGUUUUACAGUGAGGGUCUGAGGUUGGCCAAGCGGUAGGGUUCUACAGUGAGGGACUGUGGUUGGCCCAGCGGUAGGGUUCUACAGUGAGGGACUGAGGUUGGCCCAGCGGUAGGGUUUUACGGUGAGUGACUGAGGUUGGCCCAGCAGUAGGGUUUUACGGUGAGGGACUGAGGUUGGCUCAGCGGUAGGGUUCUACAGUGAGGGACUGAGGUUGGCCCAGCGGUAGGGUUUUACAGUGAGGGAC